RNAcentral lists this ribosomal RNA (300 nucleotides) under uncultured Bacillus sp. RNAcentral's name for it is "bacterial SSU rRNA". It matches the Rfam family "Bacterial small subunit ribosomal RNA", at positions 495 to 795 of the family's 1533-position model. The record is from RNAcentral. Lineage: Bacteria; Bacillati; Bacillota; Bacilli; Caryophanales; Bacillaceae.
GGUGAACUCCUGGCUGGGGGCGGGGGUAAUACGGUGGGUGGAAGCGUUAAGCGGAAUUACUGGGCGUAAAGGGUGCGCAGGCGGUUGGUUAAGUCUGCUGUGAAAUCCCCGAGCUCAACUUGGGAAUUGCAGUGGAUACUGGCAAGCUGGAGUACGGUAGAGGAAGGUGGAAUUCCCGGUGUAGCAGUGAAAUGCGUAGAGAUCGGGAGGAACACCAGUGGCGAAGGCGGCCUUCUGGACCAGUACUGACGCUCAUGCACGAAAGCGUGGGGAGCAAACAGGAUUAGAUACCUGGUAGUG